RNAcentral lists this transfer RNA (77 nucleotides) under Betaproteobacteria bacterium. RNAcentral describes it as "tRNA-Val". It matches the Rfam family "tRNA". Rfam says of the family: Transfer RNA (tRNA) molecules are approximately 80 nucleotides in length. Their secondary structure includes four short double-helical elements and three loops (D, anti-codon, and T loops). The record is from RNAcentral. Lineage: Bacteria; Pseudomonadati; Pseudomonadota; Betaproteobacteria.
CGGCACGUAGCUCAGCUGGUUAGAGCACCACCUUGACAUGGUGGGGGUCGUUGGUUCGAGUCCAAUCGUGCCUACCA